RNAcentral lists this ribosomal RNA (725 nucleotides) under uncultured bacterium. RNAcentral describes it as "bacterial SSU rRNA". It matches the Rfam family "Bacterial small subunit ribosomal RNA", at positions 771 to 1501 of the family's 1533-position model. The record is from RNAcentral.
AACAGGAUUAGAUACCCUGGUAGUCCACGCCCUAAACGAUGUCUACUAGUUGUCGGGUCUUAAUUGACUUGGUAACGCAGCUAACGCGUGAAGUAGACCGCCUGGGGAGUACGGUCGCAAGAUUAAAACUCAAAGGAAUUGACGGGGACCCGCACAAGCGGUGGAUGAUGUGGAUUAAUUCGAUGCAACGCGAAAAACCUUACCUACCCUUGACAUGGCAGGAAUCCCGGAGAGAUCUGGGAGUGCUCGAAAGAGAACCUGCACACAGGUGCUGCAUGGCUGUCGUCAGCUCGUGUCGUGAGAUGUUGGGUUAAGUCCCGCAACGAGCGCAACCCUUGUCAUUAGUUGCUACGCAAGAGCACUCUAAUGAGACUGCCGGUGACAAACCGGAGGAGGGUGGGGAUGACGUCAAGUCCUCAUGGCCCUUAUGGGUAGGGCUUCACACGUCAUACAAUGGUACAUACAGAGGGCCGCCAACCCGCGAGGGGGAGCUAAUCCCAGAAAGUGUAUCGUAGUCCGGAUUGUAGUCUGCAACUCGACUACAUGAAGUUGGAAUCGCUAGUAAUCGCGGAUCAGCAUGUCGCGGUGAAUACGUUCCCGGGUCUUGUACACACCGCCCGUCACACCAUGGGAGCGGGUUUUACCAGAAGUAGGUAGCUUAACCGCAAGGAGGGCGCUUACCACGGUAGGAUUCGUGACUGGGGUGAAGUCGUAACAAGGUAACC